RNAcentral lists this non-coding RNA (21 nucleotides) under Caenorhabditis elegans. The record is from RNAcentral. Lineage: Eukaryota; Metazoa; Nematoda; Chromadorea; Rhabditida; Rhabditidae.
UAACAGACAGUAGUUUAAAUU